AGCCGCGGUAAUUCCAGCUCUCAAAAUGCAUAGAAUUAUUGCUGCGGUUAAAAAGCUCGUAGUUGGAUCUGUGCCGACAGACUGGUCCAUCUUCGGAUGCGUACUGGUUAUUGUCGGCUUUCCUGCAGUUUUGCGGCUCAGUGCCUCUCACGGGGUGCAGUGUCCGUUGCUGCAAGUUUACUUUGAACAAAUCAGAGUGCUCUAAACAGGCGUUUCGCUUGAAUGUUCGUGCAUGGAAUAAUAGAAGAGGAUUUCGGUUCUAUUUUAUUGGUUUUAUAGACUGAGAUAAUGGUUAACAGAGACAAACGGGGGCAUUCGUAUUGCUACGUGAGAGGUGAAAUUCUUGGACCGUAGCAAGACGAACUACAGCGAAAGCAUUUGCCAAGAAUGUCUUCAUUAAUCAAGAACGAAAGUCAGAGGUUCGAAGGCGAUCAGAUACCGCCCUAGUUCAAACCGUAAA
This 460-nucleotide ribosomal RNA is filed under the name Pratylenchus scribneri. RNAcentral describes it as "SSU rRNA". It matches the Rfam family "Eukaryotic small subunit ribosomal RNA", at positions 572 to 1036 of the family's 1831-position model. The record is from RNAcentral. Lineage: Eukaryota; Metazoa; Nematoda; Chromadorea; Rhabditida; Pratylenchidae.